RNAcentral lists this ribosomal RNA (253 nucleotides) under uncultured bacterium. RNAcentral's name for it is "partial 16S ribosomal RNA". It matches the Rfam family "Bacterial small subunit ribosomal RNA", at positions 524 to 776 of the family's 1533-position model. The record is from RNAcentral.
GACGUAGGGCGCGAGCGUUGUCCGGAUUUAUUGGGCGUAAAGAGCUCGUAGGCGGCUUGUUGCGUCGACUGUGAAAACCCGCGGCUUAACCGCGGGCUUGCAGUUGAUACGGGCAGGCUAGAGUUCGGUAGGGGAGACUGGAAUUCCUGGUGUAGCGGUGAAAUGCGUAGAGAUGUGGAGGAACACCGAUGGCGAAGGCAGCCUUCUGGGCCAACACUGACGCUCAUGCACGAAAGCGUGGGGAGCAAACAGG